RNAcentral lists this ribosomal RNA (253 nucleotides) under uncultured bacterium. RNAcentral's name for it is "partial 16S ribosomal RNA". It matches the Rfam family "Bacterial small subunit ribosomal RNA", at positions 524 to 776 of the family's 1533-position model. The record is from RNAcentral.
UACGUAGGGUGCGAGCGUUGUCCGGAAUUAUUGGGCGUAAAGAGCUCGUAGGCGGCCUGUCGCGUCGGAUGUGAAAGCCCGGGGCUUAACCCCGGGUCUGCAUUCGAUACGGGCAGGCUAGAGUGUGGUAGGGGAGAUCGGAAUUCCUGGUGUAGCGGUGAAAUGCGCAGAUAUCAGGAGGAACACCGGUGGCGAAGGCGGAUCUCUGGGCCGGUACUGACGCUGAGGUGCGAAAGCGUGGGGAGCAAACAGG